UGGGGAAUAUUGGACAAUGGGCGAAAGCCUGAUCCAGCCAUGCCGCGUGUGUGAAGAAGGUCUUCGGAUUGUAAAGCACUUUAAGUUGGGAGGAAGGGCAUUAACCUAAUACGUUAGUGUUUUGACGUUACCGACAGAAUAAGCACCGGCUAACUCUGUGCCAGCAGCCGCGGUAAUACAGAGGGUGCAAGCGUUAAUCGGAAUUACUGGGCGUAAAGCGCGCGUAGGUGGUUUUUUAAGUUGGAUGUGAAAUCCCCGGGCUCAACCUGGGAACUGCAUUCAAAACUGACUGACUAGAGUAUGGUAGAGGGUGGUGGAAUUUCCUGUGUAGCGGUGA
This 337-nucleotide ribosomal RNA is filed under the name uncultured bacterium. Its description in RNAcentral is "partial 16S ribosomal RNA". It matches the Rfam family "Bacterial small subunit ribosomal RNA", at positions 355 to 684 of the family's 1533-position model. The record is from RNAcentral.